AAACUGAAAUGGUUUGUUACAG
RNAcentral lists this microRNA (22 nucleotides) under Panagrellus redivivus. RNAcentral's name for it is "prd-miR-255-3p". Its record names the gene prd-miR-255-3p. Lineage: Eukaryota; Metazoa; Nematoda; Chromadorea; Rhabditida; Panagrolaimidae. The record is from miRBase by way of RNAcentral.